CCUACGGGGUGCAGCAGUGAGGAAUAUUGGUCAAUGGGCGCUAGCCUGAACCAGCCAAGUAGCGUGAAGGAUGACUGCCCUAUGGGUUGUAAACUUCUUUUAUAUGGGAAUAAAGUGCAGUAUGUAUACUGCUUUGCAUGUACCUUAUGAAUAAGGAUCGGCUAACUCCGUGCCAGCAGCCGCGGUAAUACGGAGGAUCCGAGCGUUAUCCGGAUUUAUUGGGUUUACAGGGAGCGUAGGCGGGUUGUUAAGUCAGUUGUGAAAGUUUGCGGCUCAACCGUAAAAUUGCAGUUGAUACUGGCAGCCUUGAGUACAGUAGAGGUAGGCGGAAUUCGUGGUGUAGCGGUGAAAUGCUUAGAUAUCACGAAGAACUCCGAUUGCGAAGGCAGCCUGCUGGACUGUAACUGACGCUGAUGCUCGAAAGUGUGGGUAUCAAACAGGAUUAGAUACCCUUGUAGUC
This 460-nucleotide ribosomal RNA is filed under the name uncultured bacterium. RNAcentral's name for it is "partial 16S ribosomal RNA". It matches the Rfam family "Bacterial small subunit ribosomal RNA", at positions 338 to 795 of the family's 1533-position model. The record is from RNAcentral.